This 435-nucleotide ribosomal RNA is filed under the name uncultured Anaerovorax sp. Its description in RNAcentral is "bacterial SSU rRNA". It matches the Rfam family "Bacterial small subunit ribosomal RNA", at positions 341 to 792 of the family's 1533-position model. The record is from RNAcentral. Lineage: Bacteria; Bacillati; Bacillota; Clostridia; Peptostreptococcales; Anaerovoracaceae.
ACGGGAGGCAGCAGUGGGGAAUAUUGCACAAUGGGGGAAACCCUGAUGCAGCAACGCCGCGUGAGCGAUGAAGGCCUUUGGGUCGUAAAGCUCUGUCCUUGGGGAAGAAGAUCUGACGGUACCCUUGGAGGAAGCCCCGGCUAACUACGUGCCAGCAGCCGCGGUAAUACGUAGGGGGCAAGCGUUAUCCGGAAUUAUUGGGCGUAAAGGGUGCGUAGGCGGCGAUUUAAGCGCAGGGUUUAAGGCUACAGCUUAACUGUAGUUCGCCUUGCGAACUGGAUUGCUUGAGUGCAGGAGAGGAAAGCGGAAUUCCUAGUGUAGCGGUGAAAUGCGUAGAUAUUAGGAGGAACACCAGUGGCGAAGGCGGCUUUCUGGACUGUAACUGACGCUGAGGCACGAAAGCGUGGGGAGCAAACAGGAUUAGAUACCCUGGUA